ACGCUGGCGGCGUGCCUAACACAUGCAAGUCGAACGAGGUCCAAGGAAGCUUGCUUCCUGAAGACCUAGUGGCGAACGGGUGAGUAACACGUGAGAAACCUGCCUCGGAGUGGGGAAUAACUCGGGGAAACUCGAGCUAAUACCGCAUACCUUCACAUGAUCGCAUGGUCGAGUGAAGAAAGAAUUUCGCUCUGAGAGGGUCUCGCGGCCUAUCAGCUUGUUGGUGGGGUAACGGCCUACCAAGGCAACGACGGGUAGCUGGUUUGAGAGAACGAUCAGCCACACUGGGACUGAGACACGGCCCAGACUCCUACGGGAGGCAGCAGUGGGGAAUCUUGCGCAAUGGGCGAAAGCCUGACGCAGCAACGCCGCGUGCGGGAUGACGGCCUUCGUGGUUGUAAACCGCUUUCAGCAGGGACGAAAAUGACGGUACCUGCAGAAGAAGCCCCGGCUAACUACGUG
RNAcentral lists this ribosomal RNA (462 nucleotides) under uncultured bacterium. Its description in RNAcentral is "bacterial SSU rRNA". It matches the Rfam family "Bacterial small subunit ribosomal RNA", at positions 33 to 507 of the family's 1533-position model. The record is from RNAcentral.